GAUGAACGCUGGCGGCGUGCUUAACACAUGCAAGUCGAACGAGCUUUAUUACUACGAUCCCUUCGGGGUGACGGUUUUAAAGCGAGUGGCGGACGGGUGAGUAACGCGUGGAUAACCUGCCAUACACUGGGGGAUAACAGCUGGAAACAGCUGCUAAUACCGCAUAAAACUGUAGAGUCGCAUGACUUUAUAGCCAAAGCUCCGGCGGUGUAUGAUGGAUCCGCGUCUGAUUAGGCAGUUGGCGGGGUAACGGCCCACCAAACCGACGAUCAGUAGCCGACCUGAGAGGGUGACCGGCCACAUUGGGACUGAGACACGGCCCAAACUCCUACGGGAGGCAGCAGUGGGGAAUAUUGCACAAUGGGGGAAACCCUGAUGCAGCGACGCCGCGUGAACGAAGAAGUAUUUCGGUAUGUAAAGUUCUAUCAGCAGGGAAGAUAAUGACGGUACCUGACUAAGAAGCACCGGCUAAAUACGUG
Molecule: ribosomal RNA, 479 nt
Filed under: uncultured bacterium
Lineage: Bacteria
Description: bacterial SSU rRNA
Rfam family: Bacterial small subunit ribosomal RNA
Source: RNAcentral